AGAUGCGGUAGAUGUAAAUAAACAGUUGAGCAGCUGCAAAGGACCCUCCUCGCUGGGUAAAAUCAGGUUGCGCCGCGGAACCCGCUCCUCAGUCGGUCAACUUUGGAAGCGCGGGCAACGCAGGUGCUAUCGUCUUAAAGGGUCGGCUGCAACCGGCCC
RNAcentral lists this small RNA (159 nucleotides) under uncultured Collinsella sp. RNAcentral describes it as "Collinsella-1 RNA". It matches the Rfam family "Collinsella-1 RNA", at positions 39 to 196 of the family's 196-position model. Lineage: Bacteria; Bacillati; Actinomycetota; Coriobacteriia; Coriobacteriales; Coriobacteriaceae. The record is from RNAcentral.